GACGAACGCUGGCGGCGUGCUUAACACAUGCAAGUCGAACGGAAAGGCCCUGCUUGCAGGGUACUCGAGUGGCGAACGGGUGAGUAACACGUGGGUGAUCUGCCCUGCACUUCGGGAUAAGCCUGGGAAACUGGGUCUAAUACCGGAUAGGAGCCAUUUUUAGUGUGAUGGUUGGAAAGUUUUUUCGGUGUAGGAUGAGCUCGCGGCCUAUCAGCUUGUUGGUGGGGUAAUGGCCUACCAAGGCGGCGACGGGUAGCCGGCCUGAGAGGGUGGACGGCCACAUUGGGACUGAGAUACGGCCCAGACUCCUACGGGAGGCAGCAGUGGGGAAUAUUGCACAAGGGGCGCAAGCCUGAUGCAGCGACGCCGCGUGGGGGAUGACGGCCUUCGGGUGGUAAACUCCUUUCGCUAGGGACGAAGCUUUUUGUGACGGUACCUAGAUAAGAAGCACCGGCUAACUACG
RNAcentral lists this ribosomal RNA (463 nucleotides) under uncultured bacterium. RNAcentral's name for it is "partial 16S ribosomal RNA". It matches the Rfam family "Bacterial small subunit ribosomal RNA", at positions 28 to 505 of the family's 1533-position model. The record is from RNAcentral.